Molecule: ribosomal RNA, 402 nt
Filed under: bacterium
Lineage: Bacteria
Description: partial 16S ribosomal RNA
Rfam family: Bacterial small subunit ribosomal RNA
Source: RNAcentral
UGGGGAAUUUUGCACAAUGGGGGAAACCCUGAUGCAGCGACGCCGCGUGAUUUAGAAGGCCUUCGGGUUGUAAAAAUCUUUUCUAUGGGAAGAAAAUGACAGUACCAUAGGAAUAAGGACCGGCUAAUUACGUGCCAGCAGCCGCGGUAAUACGUAAGGUCCGAGCGUUGUCCGGAAUCAUUGGGCGUAAAGGGUACGUAGGCGGGUAAGCAAGUUAGAAGGGAAAUCCUAUAGCGCAACUAUAGUAAGCUUUUAAAACUGCUCAUCUUGAGGUAUGGAAGGGAAAGUGGAAUUCCUAGUGUAGCGGUGAAAGGCGCAGAUAUUAGGAGGAAUACCGGUGGCGAAGGCGACUUUCUGGCCAUAACCUGACGCUGAGGUACGAAAGCGUGGGUAGCAAACAGG